AUGGCCUCCGCCGCCGAGCACACGGUGCCCCUGCUCGCCCGACUUCCAGCCGAGGCGGCUGAGGCGUACACCACCGACGGGUCCCUUGAUUUCGACGGGAACCCGGCGCUCAAGAAUCGCACGGGUGGAUGGCGCGCGUGCCGCGCAGUUCUCGGAACCGAGUUCUGCUACUGCCUGGCGUUCUACGGCGUCUCGUACAAUCUCGUCACCUACCUCACGACCGUCCUGGGCCAGAGCAACGUCGCCGCGGCGAGGAACGUGUCCACCUGGCAGGCCACCUGCUUCCUCUUGCCCCUCGGCGGCGCCAUCGUGGCCGACUCCUACUGUGGGAGGUACCGCACCAUGGUCGUCUCCUGCUUCAUCGGCGUCGCAGGCAUGCUCAUGACAGCAUUCUCGGCGUACCUCCCGCUGCUCGUCGAGAACGGCGUGUCGUUCAGAGGCCUCACCUCGUCGAACAUGGUGUCGGUUCAGGAGUUCGUCUUGUUUCUCGGCCUCUACAUGAUUGCCGUUGGGCUGGGCGGACUCCGACCGUGCCUCAUGUCCUUCGGCGCCGACCAGUUCGACGACGGCGAUCCAGCGGAGCGCGUGACCAAGGGAUCCUUCUUCAACUGGUACGUGUUCAACAUGAGCUGCGCGUCGCUGAUAUCCAGCACCGGCGUCGUGUGGGUGCAGGAUCAUUACGGCUGGGCCCUGGGCCUGACCGUCCCGGCGGUCGUCCUGGCCGUCGGGCUUUCUUGCCUGGUCGCGGCGUCACGGACGUACAGGUUUCAACGAACUCGCGGCAGCCCGCUCACCAGAGUGUGCCAGGUCGUGGUUGCUGCCAUGAGAAAGUCUGGCGUCGAGCUGCCGGCCGAUUGCUCUCUGCUCUACGACAUGCCGGAAGACGACAUCGCCAUGAAGGGCGUUGAGAGGAUCGAACACACUACUGAUCUCAGAUUCUUCGAUAAGGCCGCCAUUGUCGUGGCUUCUGACAAGGAGGUGGAGGCUGCGGCCGUGCCGGUGCCGCGCAGCCCGUGGAGGCUCUGCGUCGUGACGCAGGUCGAGGAGCUCAAGAUUCUUGUGCGGAUGCUGCCGCUCUGGGCGACCGUCCUGUUCUUCUAUGCCGUGUCGGUGCAGAUCUCGUCCACAUUCGUCGAGCAAGGCAGGGCGAUGGACGCUACCGUCGGCUCUGUGCGCGUCCCGCCUGCGUCCAUGUCUACCUUCGAUAUAAUCACCGUCAUCGUCCUGGUCCCUCUCUACGACCGGGUCUUCGUUCCGGCGGCGAGAAGGCUCACCGGGAGGGAGAAGGGCAUCUCGGAGCUGCAGAGGAUCGGCGCCGGCCUCGCCAUGCCCGUGUUCGCCAUGGCCGCCGCGGCGCUUCUCGAGACGGUGCGCCUCCGCGCGGCGAAGGCGGCGCCCCUGGCGCCAUGCUCGACGAGCGUGCUGUGGCAGGCGCCGCAGUACGUGCUGGUGGGCGUGGGCGAGGUGCUCACCACCAUCGGCCAGCUUGACUUCUUCUACGGCCAGGCGCCGGCCGGGAUGAAGACCGUGUGCACGGCGCUCGCGCUUCUCGCAGUAGCGGCCGGCGGCUACCUGAGCUCAUUCCUACUGACGGCCGUGCAGUGGGCGACGACGACUGGUGGCGCGCCUGGGUGGAUCCCUGACGACCUGAACGAGGGUCAUCUGGAUCGCUUCUUCUGGAUGAUGGCCGGACUUGGUUGUCUCAAUCUGAUAGCGUUCGGGAGCUGCGCCAGGAGGUACAAAUCCAAGAAGGGUUGCUGA
Molecule: ribosomal RNA, 1761 nt
Filed under: Triticum aestivum (bread wheat)
Lineage: Eukaryota; Viridiplantae; Streptophyta; Magnoliopsida; Poales; Poaceae
Description: partial small subunit ribosomal RNA
Source: RNAcentral